UGGUGGUUCCAUGAUGAUAAAGUGUAAUAACAGAGGUGUCUCCAAGUGUAAUAACGGAGGUGUCUCCCUGCACAUUAGUUCAAAUAAUUUUAGUAGAUGGCCUUUUUUUUGCAAAGGACACUGAAAACACAAGGCGAAGCAUUGUGCAAACAAACUCAUUCUGAAUGUGCAUUACCUUCUGUAAGUGGGAAUGCCUAAUGUGUAACGGAAGAGGAAUAAUGUGUUUUUAGUAACAAAUGACGAACAAACUUGGUUCUCUGGUUACUUUGCAAUUUA
This 276-nucleotide unclassified non-coding RNA is filed under the name Hevea brasiliensis (rubber tree). The record is from RNAcentral. Lineage: Eukaryota; Viridiplantae; Streptophyta; Magnoliopsida; Malpighiales; Euphorbiaceae.